RNAcentral lists this ribosomal RNA (218 nucleotides) under uncultured bacterium. RNAcentral describes it as "partial 16S ribosomal RNA". It matches the Rfam family "Bacterial small subunit ribosomal RNA", at positions 1282 to 1500 of the family's 1533-position model. The record is from RNAcentral.
UAAGUCUCAGUUCGGAUUGAAGGCUGAAAUUCGCCUUCAUGAAGCCGGAAUUGCUAGUAAUGGCAGGUCAGCAUACUGCCGUGAAUACGUUCCCGGGCCUUGUACACACCGCCCGUCACACCAUGAGAGUUGGGAAUACCCGAAGCCUGUGAGCUGACAUUAAGAGGCAGCAGUCGAAGGUAGAAUCAAUGAUUGGGGUGAAGUCGUAACAAGGUAGC